RNAcentral lists this unclassified non-coding RNA (359 nucleotides) under Hevea brasiliensis (rubber tree). Lineage: Eukaryota; Viridiplantae; Streptophyta; Magnoliopsida; Malpighiales; Euphorbiaceae. The record is from RNAcentral.
GAGAGAGAGAGAGAGAAUUAGAGAUUACUGGACGUAGAUGAUACUUACCAUUCCGCAAAUUUAUGAAGUUCUGAAAAGAAAUAGCAUGAAAAUUGGGGGCAUACCGCUUGCAGCUCCCAACUUUUGCGACAAGCACAAUUUCGUCUUAUGAAAUCAUGUUUUAUUAAAUUACAUGGACCAAACAGAUGAUGAAUAAGCAGAAGCUCCAUUUUCCCGUAAAUUCAUCACCAAAGUAUCCAUCAACAGGACAUACUUUUACGUUUUAAAUAUACUUCAAAAACCAUUUUCCCAUUUAAGCCAAACACAUCAAAAUCCCAAAAACACAAACUAAUAAAGAUUAAAGAAAAGAAAAGAUUACC